AUGUAUUUAGAUUCUGACAGCUUCUACAUUUUCGAUGCAUCGGAAACAUCUUGGGACCACGCCUUUGAGGAAAACAUUCCCAAUGGAGUCAAUGAAGGCUUGCAGCGUCCAUCUUGGACGUUUCCAUGGCAACCGGUAGCAACAUCACCUGGAAAAGACUCUUUAUCGAUUGUUAACAUGUAUACCUCUAAGUUGAAACUAAAUAAACGUAACAAAUACUU
This 221-nucleotide long non-coding RNA is filed under the name Haliotis rubra (blacklip abalone). Its description in RNAcentral is "uncharacterized LOC124275896". The record is from RNAcentral. Lineage: Eukaryota; Metazoa; Mollusca; Gastropoda; Lepetellida; Haliotidae.